Molecule: ribosomal RNA, 501 nt
Filed under: uncultured bacterium
Lineage: Bacteria
Description: bacterial SSU rRNA
Rfam family: Bacterial small subunit ribosomal RNA
Source: RNAcentral
AGUGAACGCUGGCGGCAGGCCUAAUACAUGCAAGUCGAACGGCAGCACAGCAGAGCUUGCUCUGUGGGUGGCGAGUGGCGGACGGGUGAGGAAUACAUGGGAAUCUGCCCAGUCGUGGGGGAUAACGUAGGGAAACUUACGCUAAUACCGCAUGCGCCCUUCGGGGGAAAGCCGGGGACCUUCGGGCCUGGCGCGAUUGGAUGAGCCCAUGUCGGAUUAGCUAGUUGGCGGGGUAAUGGCCCACCAAGGCGACGAUCCGUAGCUGGUCUGAGAGGAUGAUCAGCCACACUGGAACUGAGACACGGUCCAGACUCCUACGGGAGGCAGCAGUAGGGAAUAUUGGACAAUGGGGCGCAAGCCUGAUCCAGCCAUGCCGCGUGACGUGAAGAAGGCCCUCGGGUUGUAAAGCUCUUUUGUCCGGAAAGAAAGCGCCGGGUUAAUACCCUGGUGUCCUGACGGUACCGGAAGAAUAAGCACCGGCUAACUUCGUGCCAGCAGCCG